RNAcentral lists this small RNA (105 nucleotides) under Gossypium hirsutum (cotton). Its description in RNAcentral is "Heliobacter pylori small RNA HPnc0580". It matches the Rfam family "Heliobacter pylori small RNA HPnc0580". The record is from Rfam by way of RNAcentral. Lineage: Eukaryota; Viridiplantae; Streptophyta; Magnoliopsida; Malvales; Malvaceae.
GUACAGUAGUUUUUAUUUUUUGAUUAAAGAGAAAUGCUCGAUCGUUAGAUUUAACGAAGAAAAUCGGAACCCAAUACGUUAGGGCUCAAUUUCCUUGAAAAUCCU